RNAcentral lists this ribosomal RNA (468 nucleotides) under uncultured bacterium. Its description in RNAcentral is "partial 16S ribosomal RNA". It matches the Rfam family "Bacterial small subunit ribosomal RNA", at positions 28 to 507 of the family's 1533-position model. The record is from RNAcentral.
GACGAACGCUGGCGGCGUGCUUAACACAUGCAAGUCGAACGGAAAGGCCCUGCUUUUGUGGGGUGCUCGAGUGGCGAACGGGUGAGUAACACGUGAGUAACCUGCCCUUGACUGUGGGAUAACUUCAGGAAACUGGGGCUAAUACCGGAUAGGAGCUCCUGCUGCAUGGUGGGGGUUGGAAAGUUUCGGCGGUGGGGGAUGGACGUGCGGCUUAUCAGCUUGUUGGUGGGGUAGUGGCUUACCAAGGCAUUGACGGGUAGCCGGCCUGAGAGGGUGACCGGCCACAUUGGGACUGAGAUACGGCCCAGACUCAUACGGGAGGCAGCAGUGGGGAAUAUUGCACAAUGGGCGGAAGCCUGAUGCAGCAACGCCGCGUGCGGGAUGACGGCCUUCGGGUUGUAAACCGCUUUCGCCUGUGACGAAGCGUGAGUGACGGUAAUGGGUAAAGAAGCACCGGCUAACUACGUG